AAACCUCAAUCCCUCCGGUUUUCACGAACCGGUUGGACUUGGAUUUGGGUGUUGCCGCGGCUCGCGCCGUCGGCUCACCUCAAAAGUGUUAGUGAGACGGUGGAUAACCUGUCAGCCUGGCGUAAUAAGUUUCGCUGGGCCCUUGGGGUAAUCCUUUCGGCUUGCUCAUAACAACCAACUUUCUAUGA
RNAcentral lists this unclassified non-coding RNA (188 nucleotides) under uncultured Cryptococcus. Its description in RNAcentral is "sequence contains ITS2". The record is from RNAcentral. Lineage: Eukaryota; Fungi; Basidiomycota; Tremellomycetes.